Molecule: long non-coding RNA, 1471 nt
Organism: Biomphalaria glabrata
Lineage: Eukaryota; Metazoa; Mollusca; Gastropoda; Planorbidae
Exons: 3
Source: RefSeq, a predicted model, not a curated record
UUUUAACUUAUCCAAUAUUUUUUAGAUCAGCAGGAACGCAUGUUUCUCGGGAUUGCGUAUCAUAUAGAGAGGUCCAGCAAUCAGCAGAUAAUUCCUCCCCGAUAAAUAAUUCCCAACCAUUAGGCUAAAGAAAAUACUUAACCCUCAAGUGGCAUUGGUUAGUGACUCAACCUGUCUAAGGAAGAUUUCCUGCUAAACAUUUUGUAUCUUUUAAUUAUAAUUUGUAAUUGUUUUUAAAAUCAUACAGAAAAAUAAGUUCUGCAAUGUUUUUAAAUGUGUAAUAAACAAUGAUAUUUUACAGUAUAUAUGCAAUGGAUAACACCUUGAAAUUUAAUAAUUUGUACAAAGAUAUAUACUAUUUUUAAUAUUAAAAAUAAAAAAACGAAAUUAUAUAUAUAUAUAUAUAUAUAUAUAUAUAGUUUAUACAUGUAAUUAAAUUGGGUUAGGCUUAGGGUUGUACUUUUAUUGUUAGAUCAGAUAUUCUUGCAUUUAAAUAAUUAAACUGUUUGAUACGAUAUAUAUAUGUAAGCAAAAGUUUAAAGACAGAAAAUUUACAAAAUUAAAAAAAAUAUACUUCCCUUUUUUACCGUGAUUAUUGCAAAUUAUUAAAAUUGCAUUAGUAAGAAAUUACACAUACAAGUUUAAAACUUGUAGUAGGUCAAUGCUUGCAUACAUUCCGUUCCAAAACAGAUACCUUUGAUUAUGGAGGUAGGCAUUGUAAGCUUAUGACCUUAGAAUGCCUUAGAUGAUAGUUAAAUGGUUGAGGCGGGCUUGACAAAAAAUGUGAAGAAGAUUCCCAGUGUGGUCACCCAAAGACAGGUCUAUUCGAUCACACUGAAUUUUGAAUACAUUUUUAGGCUCCAGAAUUAACUUGUUUAAUAUCGUUUUGCUUAGAUUAAAUAAUAUAUCUAAGCCAGUGUUUAAUCUGAUGAUACAAUGUCUAUAGUAAAAGAAGCAUUAUAUAUAUAUAUAUAUAUAUAUAACAUAUAUUAUUGUUUUGUUACAUUGUUAAUGAAUAUGUUAUUGUCUUCUCAGAUUUAUAAUGCUUUUAUAUUCAUUAUACUUAUUAAAGUUUGUUAAUUUUGUACAUUUGUAAGUUUUUAUUUUUAUUCUGAAAUACGAUAAAUUUGAAAAUAAUGGAUAUGAUAUGAAUUUAUUCUUGACAUUUCGUUCAUUAUAUAAGUUCUCGCAAGUGACCAAUAUCUUCUUCUUAUAUAAUACAGAUGUUACUUCAAAAAGAAGAUGAUUACGUCCUACGCGUCAUGCAUUUAGUCAUGCAUAUUAACCAAUGACUUUAAUUCUGCCAAGUCACUGGUUUUCCAGGCUAGCUCAGGCAAUUCAUUUCAUGCUCUAAUAGCACUAGGGAAGAAGGAGUAUUUGUAGAAAUUAGUCCUAGCAUAUGGGACGAGGAAUGUGCCUUUAUCUUUGUGUCUUUCAGAGUAUUUUAUUAAAUUUUGUUUUUGUAUUUGAA